CGUAGGUGGCAAGCGUUGUCCGGAUUAUUGGGUUUAAAGGGUGCGUAGGCGGUGAUUUAAGUCAGUGGUGAAAUACCUCAGCUUAACUGGAGAGGUGCCAUUGAUACUGGGUCACUUGAGUACUGAUGAGGUAGGCGGAAUGGACGGUGUAGCGGUGAAAUGCUUAGAUAUCGUCCAGAACACCGAUAGCGAAGGCAGCUUACUAAGGAGUAACUGACGCUGAGGCACGAAAGUGUGGGGAUCAAACAGGAUUAGAUACCCUGGUAGUCCACACUGUAAACGAUGAUCACUCGAUGUUGGCGAUACACAGCCAGCGUCUUAGCAAAAGCGAUAAGUGAUCCACCUGGGGAGUACGCCGGCAACGGUG
This 367-nucleotide ribosomal RNA is filed under the name uncultured organism. Its description in RNAcentral is "bacterial SSU rRNA". It matches the Rfam family "Bacterial small subunit ribosomal RNA", at positions 526 to 896 of the family's 1533-position model. The record is from RNAcentral.